ACCUAAGGGACACGGUUGCGUGAGAAAAUUCCACCUUCUGUCAGUUUGAAGCAAUCUCGACCAAGUGUAAUAUUGUAGAAAAUGCUGCUAGCUACAAGGAAUGUUUUUUCUGUCUAUCUUUUCUUUCAUUCUUUAACAGGUGGUUAAUCCUGAGGAACUCUACUGCGUGAGAAAACACCGCCCCCUGUCAGUUUGAAGCAAUCUCGACCAAUCGCAAUAUCGUAAAAUACUGCUGACUACAAGGAAUGUAACUUCGACAAUUUCAUUUUCUAACCAGCAACUCGAUCGGACCAGCAUGGAUACGAACUGUCGCCUAAUUAACGGCCGUGCUGUGUGCCCGCCAGUGCAUUUUAUCACUCCAAGAAUGCGGGACCAGGAGUCCGAUGAAUCUUUAGAGAUCAGUAUUGUAUCGAUUGCGCUGGCCCUCCUGUUCGGGUGAGAAUGAAGAAGUUCCAUAGUCGUUGCGCCCGAGUUAAGAGGAAGACGUUGGAAACAGUUCCAAAAGAACGUUUUGAAAUGGAAACCCGUCCAGUGACCGUCCCAAAGCCCCAGGCAGGCACCAAAAGGCCAACGCCACCACCGCCACCCCAAGCUAGGUCUCUGCAACAACCACCACCGCGGGCGCCUCCAGCUAGGUCUCUACCACAGCAACCACCGCGGGCGCCUCCAGCGCGGAGAUAUAAUCUCCGCCCCGCAAAGAGGUAAUCUCUGUUUUUUUUAAUAGCAAUGUAUUUUUUACAUGAUAACAUGAACAAGGUCUUAACAUUUCUUUUUCAAAUAUGACGAAUUAUAUUUUUAAUUUUAAUUUUUUCAUAAUCAAUUAUAACAAGAUGGUAUAAAAUGUCAG
Magallana angulata is the source of this 847-nucleotide long non-coding RNA. RefSeq lists it as uncharacterized. The record is from RefSeq and is a predicted model, not a curated record. The transcript is spliced from 4 exons. Lineage: Eukaryota; Metazoa; Mollusca; Bivalvia; Ostreida; Ostreidae.